AGCCCGCUGUAAGCGAAGCCCUUUCUGGGUUUUUGGGUUGGAGUGGGAUUGUGGUUGGUGGUGAGGUUAUCCCCAGAGCGGCGCUCUUGGUUUUCUUUUUCUGUAAUAGGAAGUUACAGUUAUUUUGCAUCUAUUCCAUAGUGGGGUAUCUAAUCCCAGU
Molecule: ribosomal RNA, 160 nt
Filed under: Marchalina hellenica
Lineage: Eukaryota; Metazoa; Arthropoda; Insecta; Hemiptera; Margarodidae
Description: partial 12S ribosomal RNA
Source: RNAcentral